RNAcentral lists this ribosomal RNA (443 nucleotides) under uncultured bacterium. Its description in RNAcentral is "partial 16S ribosomal RNA". It matches the Rfam family "Bacterial small subunit ribosomal RNA", at positions 338 to 795 of the family's 1533-position model. The record is from RNAcentral.
CCUACGGGAGGCAGCAGUGGGGAAUAUUGCACAAUGGGGGAAACCCUGAUGCAGCAACGCCGCGUGAAGGAAGACGGUUUUCGGAUUGUAAACUUCUAUCAAUAGGGAAGAAAGAAAUGACGGUACCUAAAUAAGAAGCCCCGGCUAACUACGUGCCAGCAGCCGCGGUAAUACGUAGGGGGCAAGCGUUAUCCGGAAUUACUGGGUGUAAAGGGAGAGUAGGCGGCAAGGUAAGCGAUAUGUGAAAGCCUGAAGCUUAACUUAAGGAUGGCAUAACGAACUAUCUAGCUAGAGUGCAGGAGCGGAAAGCGGAAUUCCUAGUGUAGCGGUGAAAUGCGUAGAUAUUAGGAAGAACACCAGUGGCGAAGGCGGCUUUCUGGGCUGAAACUGACGCUGAGGCUCGAAAGCGUGGGGAGCGAACAGGAUUAGAUACCCCUGUAGUC